RNAcentral lists this unclassified non-coding RNA (329 nucleotides) under soil metagenome. RNAcentral describes it as "partial contains 5.8S ribosomal RNA, internal transcribed spacer 2, and large subunit ribosomal RNA". The stretch from base 1 to 120 matches the Rfam family "5.8S ribosomal RNA", at positions 35 to 154 of the family's 154-position model. The record is from RNAcentral.
GAUGAAGAACGCAGCGAAAUGCGAUAAGUAGUGUGAAUUGCAGAAUUCAGUGAAUCAUCGAAUCUUUGAACGCACAUUGCGCCCCUUGGUAUCCCGAGGGGCAUGCCUGUUCGAGCGUCAUUUCACCACUCAAGCUCAGCUUGGUGUUGGGCCCCGCCGCCCCGGCGGGCCCUAAAGUCAGUGGCGGUGCCGUCCGGCUCCGAGCGUAGUAAUUCUUCUCGCUCUGGAGGUCCGGUCGUGUGCUCGCCAGCAACCCCCAAUUUUUUUCAGGUUGACCUCGGAUCAGGUAGGGAUACCCGCUGAACUUAAGCAUAUCAAUAAGCGGAGGA